CUGCCUGAUGGAGGGGGAUAACUACUGGAAACGGUAGCUAAUACCGCAUAACGUCGCAAGACCAAAGAGGGGGACCUUAGGGCCUCUUGCCAUCGGAUGUGCCCAGAUGGGAUUAGCUAGUAGGUGGGGUAACGGCUCACCUAGGCGACGAUCCCUAGCUGGUCUGAGAGGAUGACCAGCCACACUGGAACUGAGACACGGUCCAGACUCCUACGGGAGGCAGCAGUGGGGAAUAUUGCACAAUGGGCGCAAGCCUGAUGCAGCCAUGCCGCGUGUAUGAAGAGGGCCUUCGGGUUGUAAAGUACUUUCAGCGGGGAGGAAGGGAGUAAAGUUAAUACCUUUGCUCAUUGACGUUACCCGCAGAAGAAGCACCGGCUAACUCCGUGCCAGCAGCCGCGGUAAUACGGAGGGUGCAAGCGCUAAUCGGAAUUACUGGGCGUAAAGCGCACGCAGGCGGUUUGUUAAGUCAGAUGUGAAAUCCCCGGGCUCAACCUGGGAACUGCAUCUGAUACUGGCAAGCUUGAGUCUCGUAGAGGGGGGUAGAAUUCCAGGUGUAGCGGUGAAAUGCGUAGAGAUCUGGAGGAAUACCGGUGGCGAAGGCGGCCCCCUGGACGAAGACUGACGCUCAGGUGCGAAAGCGUGGGGAGCAAACAGGAUUAGAUACCCUGGUAGUCCACGCCGUAAACGAUGUCGACUUGGAGGUUGUGCCCUUGAGGCGUGGCUUCCGGAGCUAACGCGUUAAGUCGACCGCCUGGGGAGUACGGCCGCAAGGUUAAAACUCAAAGGAAUUGACGG
This 795-nucleotide ribosomal RNA is filed under the name uncultured bacterium. Its description in RNAcentral is "bacterial SSU rRNA". It matches the Rfam family "Bacterial small subunit ribosomal RNA", at positions 126 to 916 of the family's 1533-position model. The record is from RNAcentral.